This is a long non-coding RNA of Culex pipiens pallens (northern house mosquito), 347 nucleotides long. RefSeq lists it as uncharacterized. The transcript is spliced from 2 exons. Lineage: Eukaryota; Metazoa; Arthropoda; Insecta; Diptera; Culicidae. The record is from RefSeq and is a predicted model, not a curated record.
UUUUGUUUUUGUUUGUUUUCAUUUUCAUGUCGUGUCUGGGCCUACGGUUGGAGAACGAUUGCACCACGACAACCACUUCGGAGUGAUAUUAUCACACUGGAGACAACAGCAACAACAUCAGAAACCCUGAUGUCACUCAGGUUCCCGCAAAGCAUGGACUACAUUAUAAAGCGGCAAUGUGGGAAAGGGAAGUAAUUUGUGAUUGUAGAAGGUAUUGUUUUGAUUCACAGCAUGUUGAACGAACUGUUGUGGAUGUACCUAGAACAUCGCAACUCGGAGUAUCUCUUCUUAUUAUCUCCAACUACUUUAGUUCUGUUUCACUUAUCUUUCAAGUCUCCUCUACUCAA